AAAUAUAAGGACAAUGAUUGCCAUGAUUGAUUUGAUAAAACUAGACGGUUAGCUUGGGGCCUACUUUUUCUUUUUUGUUCUAUGUGUGUCUCUCCUGAAGUUUAAUAGCCUGCCCUUCUCAGAUAGAUGUGAUUUGAUUUUGGGGAAAGGAUAUAUGACAUAGCUCUGUUUCCCUACUAGAACUUGCAAACAAACUUUCAGUUUUCAUUGGAAUGAUGUUGGUGACUACAGAAAGAGAUAUAGUUAUCACAUAAGGAAGCUACAUGACUCACUCU
This 275-nucleotide small nuclear RNA is filed under the name Prolemur simus (greater bamboo lemur). RNAcentral describes it as "7SK RNA (ENSPSMG00000009691.1)". It matches the Rfam family "7SK RNA". Rfam says of the family: 7SK was discovered as an abundant small nuclear RNA in the mid-70s but a possible function has only recently been suggested. Two independent studies have found that 7SK RNA binds the CDK9/cyclin T complex (known as elongation factor P-TEFb). P-TEFb activates transcription by phosphorylating the C-terminal domain of RNA polymerase II. Lineage: Eukaryota; Metazoa; Chordata; Mammalia; Primates; Lemuridae. The record is from RNAcentral.